UACAGAGGGGGCAAGCGUUGUUCGGAAUUACUGGGCGUAAAGGGCGCGUAGGCGGCCUUCUAAGUCGAACGUGAAAUCCCCGGGCUCAACCCGGGAACUGCGUCCGAUAUUGGGAGGCUUGAAUCCGGGAGAGGGAUGUGGAAUUCCAGGUGUAGCGGUGAAAUGCGUAGAUAUCUGGAGGAACACCGGUGGCGAAGGCGGCAUCCUGGACCGGUAUUGACGCUGAGGCGCGAAAGCCAGGGGAGCAAACGGG
This 253-nucleotide ribosomal RNA is filed under the name uncultured bacterium. Its description in RNAcentral is "partial 16S ribosomal RNA". It matches the Rfam family "Bacterial small subunit ribosomal RNA", at positions 524 to 776 of the family's 1533-position model. The record is from RNAcentral.